This 423-nucleotide ribosomal RNA is filed under the name uncultured prokaryote. Its description in RNAcentral is "bacterial SSU rRNA". It matches the Rfam family "Bacterial small subunit ribosomal RNA", at positions 355 to 796 of the family's 1533-position model. The record is from RNAcentral.
UGGGGAAUCUUGGACAAUGGGGGCAACCCUGAUCCAGCGACGCCGCGUGGGUGGUAAGGCCUUCGGGUUGUAAAGCCCUUUCACCGGGGAAGAUGAUGACAUUACCCGGAGAAGAAGCGCCGGCUAACUCCGUGCCAGCAGCCGCGGUAAUACGGAGGGUGCAAGCGUUGUCCGGAUUUAUUGGGUUUAAAGGGUACGUAGGCGGGCUGUUAAGUCUGAGGUGAAAGCUCCUGGCUCAACCAGGAAAUUGCCUUGGAUACUGGCAGUCUUGAGUACAGUAGAGGUGGGCGGAAUUCAUGGUGUAGCGGUGAAAUGCAUAGAUACCAUGAGGAACACCGAUAGGGAAGCCAGCUCACUGGACUGUUACUGACGCUGAGGUACGAAAGCGUGGGGAGCGAACAGGAUUAGAUACCCCCGUAGUCC